Molecule: ribosomal RNA, 500 nt
Filed under: uncultured Blastocystis sp.
Lineage: Eukaryota; Bigyra; Opalinata; Blastocystidae
Description: SSU rRNA
Rfam family: Eukaryotic small subunit ribosomal RNA
Source: RNAcentral
GGAGGUAGUGACAAUAAAUCACAAUGCGGAACAAUGUUUUGCAAUUGGAUUGAGAACAACGUACAAACCUUAUCGAUAAACAAUUGGAGGGCAAGUCUGGUGCCAGCAGCCGCGGUAAUUCCAGCUCCAAUAGCGUAUAUUAACGUUGUUGCAGUUAAAAAGCUCGUAGUUGAAAUGAAGGGUAGUUGUGUAAUGAAUACAUUCGUGUAUUUUGUUAUUCAAGUACCCUCCUUCUAAAUUCGAUAUAUGAGUAUUAAUUUACUUGUAUAUGGUUUUAGACAUUUACUGUGAGAAAAUUAGAGUGUUCAAAGCAGGCAUUUGCUUGAAUAUAUUAGCAUGGAAUAAUCAUGUAUGAUUUUCAUGAUGUAUUUGAUUGGUUUGGUUSAUGAGAAUAAGAUUAAAAGGGACAGUUGGGGGUAUUCAUAUUCAAUAGUCAGAGGUGAAAUUCUCGGAUUUAUGGAAGAUGAACAAGUGCGAAAGCAUUUACCAAGGAUGUUUUC